This is an RNA transcript of Syzygium oleosum, 1385 nucleotides long. It is a transcript of the gene named aminodeoxychorismate synthase, chloroplastic-like, with no coding region annotated. The record is from RefSeq and is a predicted model, not a curated record. NCBI's taxonomy places the organism in Eukaryota, Viridiplantae, Streptophyta, Magnoliopsida, Myrtales, Myrtaceae. The transcript has 6 exons.
UCUCUCUCUCUCUCUCUCUCUCUCUCUGCUGAUUCCUCAGAUCUCCCCCGCGCUCGCUGUUCUCCCUGCCUCUCCCUCGUUCGUUUCUCUCGAUCAGAUUUGCUUCCGCUUCUCCUUCUCCUUCUCCUUCUCCUUCUCCUUCUUCCCUCUCCCCCACACCCCCAAACCUCUCGCGCUCGCUAGGGUUUUCGGUACCCCCUUCCCCCCGCGCUUCCUCCCGCGACUCCUCCUCGCCCAUGGCCUUCGGAGCCUUAGAGGCCGCGGAGCCCGAAGGGGCGGCGGCUCCUCCCCCCGUCGAGGGCAAGGAGGAGCUCCCCGAGAAAUUAGAGGUGGAGGAAAUCGAGCCGUGGUUUCGAUUUUGGUCGAGCGAGAUUAGCAAGGAUCAGUAGUUGUAGAUCCCAUUUAGAGUGUCAAAGGGAAGGUGGUGAUUGAUGCCUUCCGUUUGAUCAACCCACAAACCAUGAUGCUUGGCCAAGAACCCAGGUAGACAACCUCCAACCAUGGACAUCUCAACAAACCGUCCAUCCAAGCAUUGAUCCAUGGGCUGAACAGACACUAUUACUCAAUUGCCAUCAAUUACAGAAAGAAUGAACUGGAGGAAAAAAUGCUACUUAAUCUUCACAAGAAGAAAUGGACAGAUGGCUUGACGCUUCGCCGUUUUGACACACAUUCUAAAACCAAUGAACAAACUGUUCAGGUGUGACAGAUAAAUUACAACGCAUCCACCGCAAUUAUUGUGUACGAAGCAAAAAGGUCCUUAUGGCCAUUAUGCAUUCUACUUGGCCUCAUUAUGGUGUGCAGUUUCACUCAAAGAGUGUUGCGACUUGUCAUGGGAGACAAAUUUUCGAGAAUCUCAGGGGAAUAACAGAAGAUUAUUGGUUGAGAUCAAGCUCCUCUUUCUUCAGAAGGAGAUAUGCUCAUUUUACUGCACGAAUCCAGGUGCCCCACGGUAAUCAUAUAUCAGGACAAGUUCGUUUAACAAAUACUCCCUCUGUGGAGAUUAAUGGCGAUCACUUGCUUCAAGAGGUUACUAGAAGCAGCAGACCAGUGUAUGAUUUGGACGAGAGGAACUGUCUUGGUAUGUCAAAUCUGGGGAUUUCACCUGCAACCAUUGACAUGAAGCUACUUAAGUUGACAUGGAGAAGGUUAGAAGGUUUGGCUGCUAGACUUGGUGGAUCCAAGAACAUAUUCUGUGAACUUUUUUCUGAUAACAAGGCUGAGAACACCUUUUGGUUGGAUAAUUCCUCAAUUGAGAAGGUCUGUCUUGAAUAGGAAGAAUGCACCUUUCAGUUUGGUUCUUUAUUUAUGUCAUUCUUGUGGAAAAUGUAGAUGACUGUAUUUCAUUUUCAUAUUAUUAUAAUAUUUUGAUGUUAUUAAGUGCUUAA